This 1024-nucleotide ribosomal RNA is filed under the name Cratera cuarassu. RNAcentral's name for it is "bacterial SSU rRNA". It matches the Rfam family "Eukaryotic small subunit ribosomal RNA", at positions 153 to 1681 of the family's 1831-position model. The record is from RNAcentral. Lineage: Eukaryota; Metazoa; Platyhelminthes; Tricladida; Geoplanidae.
UAAUUCUAGAGCUAAUAUUUUCAAAAAUGCCGUGACUCACGAAGCGGCGGAUUUAUUAGAUCAAAACCAACCUGCCGCAAGGCGGUUCUUUGAUGAAUCUGGAUAACUUUACUGAUCGUACAACCUUUGCGUUGACGACAUAUCUCUUGAAAAGGCUGACCUAUCAACUUUCGAUGGUAAGAUCAAAGCUUACCAUGGUUGUAACGGGUAACGGGGAAUCAGUGUUCGAUUCCGGAGAGGGAGCCUGAGAAACGGCUACCACAUCUACGGAAGGCAGCAGGCGCGUAAAUUACCCAAUACCGGCUCGGUGAGGUAGUGACAAAAAAUAAUAAUAUGGGCCCUAGUGGUUUCAUAAUUGCAAUGAGAACAUUUUAAAUACUUUAUCAAGUAUCAAUUGGAGUAAACUAUGCCAACUGACAGUUAGUGAAGGUGGUUUUACGUCCUCACUAGAAGUCACCGGGAAACCAAAGUCUAUGGGUUCCGGGGGAAGUAUGGUUGCAAAGCUGAAACUUAAAGGAAUUGACGGAAGGGCACCACCAGGAGUGGAGCCUGCGGCUUAAUUUGACUCAACACGGGAAAUCUCACCCGGUCCGGACACUGUGAGGAUUGACAGAUUGAUAGCUCUUUCUUGAUUCGGUGGGUGGUGGUGCAUGGCCGUUCUUAGUUGGUGGAGCGAUUUGUCUGGUUAAUUCCGAUAACGAACGAGACUCUGACCUGCUAACUAGUACACUCGUGUUUAAUCGCGAGUGCUGACUUCUUAGAGGAAUAUGUAGCUUUUAGCUAAAUGAAAUUGAGCAAUAACAGGUCUGUGAUGCCCUUAGAUGUCCGGGGCCGCACGCGCGCUACAAUGGCAGUACCAGCGAGUUUGUCCUAGCUAGAUAUGGCCGGGUAAUCUGCUGAAACACUGUCGUGUCAGGAAUAGUGGAUUGCAAUUUUCCCACUUGAACGAGGAAUUCCUAGUAAGCGCAAGUCACUAGCUUGCGCUGAUUACGUCCCUGCCCUUUGUACACACCGCCCGUCGCUA